RNAcentral lists this ribosomal RNA (465 nucleotides) under uncultured Klebsiella sp. Its description in RNAcentral is "bacterial SSU rRNA". It matches the Rfam family "Bacterial small subunit ribosomal RNA", at positions 338 to 795 of the family's 1533-position model. The record is from RNAcentral. Lineage: Bacteria; Pseudomonadati; Pseudomonadota; Gammaproteobacteria; Enterobacterales; Enterobacteriaceae.
CCUACGGGUGGCUGCAGUGGGGAAUAUUGCACAAUGGGCGCAAGCCUGAUGCAGCCAUGCCGCGUGUGUGAAGAAGGCCUUCGGGUUGUAAAGCACUUUCAGCGGGGAGGAAGGCGGUGAGGUUAAUAACCUCAUCGAUUGACGUUACCCGCAGAAGGAGCACCGGCUAACUCCGUGCCAGCAGCCGCGGUAAUACAGAGGGUGCAAGCGUUAAUCGGAAUUACUGGGCGUAAAGCGCACGCAGGCGGUCUGUCAAGUCGGAUGUGAAAUCCCCGGGCUCAACCUGGGAACUGCAUUCGAAACUGGCAGGCUAGAGUCUUGUAGAGGGGGGUAGAAUUCCAGGUGUAGCGGUGAAAUGCGUAGAGAUCUGGAGGAAUACCGGUGGCGAAGGCGGCCCCCUGGACAAAGACUGACGCUCAGGUGCGAAAGCGUGGGGAGCAAACAGGAUUAGAUACCCGUGUAGUC